UUUAACUGGAGAAUAGCCCGAAGAAAUUCGGAUUAAUGCUCCAUAAUAUCAAGAGAAUGCAUAUUCUUUUGAUUAAAGCUCCGGCGGUUAAAGAUGGGCAUGCGUGCCAUUAGCUUGUUGGUGAGGUAACGGCUCACCAAGGCAACGAUGGCUAGGGGUUCUGAGAGGAUGAUCCCCCACACUGGUACUGAGACACGGACCAGACUCCUACGGGAGGCAGCAGUGAGGAAUAUUGGUCAAUGGGCGAAAGCCUGAACCAGCCAUGCCGCGUGCAGGAUGACGGCGCUAUGCGUUGUAAACUGCUUUUCUGCUCCAAGAACCCCCCGAUCGUGAUCGGGGUUGACGGUAGAGCAGGAAUAAGCAUCGGCUAACUCCGUGCCAGCAGCCGCGGUAAUACGGAGGAUGCAAGCGUUGUCCGGAUUUAUUGGGUUUAAAGGGUGCGUAGGCGGGAUAAUAAGUCAGUGGUGAAAUCCUGCGGCUUAACCGUAGAAUUGUCAUUGAUACUGUUAUUCUUGAGUUCAGUUGAGGUGGGCGGAAUGUAUAAUGUAGCGGUGAAAUGCUUAGAUAUUAUACAGAACACCGAUUGCGAAGGCAGCUCACUAAGCUGAUACUGACGCUGAGGCACGAAAGCGUGGGGAGCGAACAGGAUUAGAUACCCUGGUAGUCCACGCUGUAAACGAUGAUCACUCGCUGUUGGCAAUACAUCGUCAGCGGCUGAGCGAAAGCAUUAAGUGAUCCACCUGGGGAGUACGUCGGCAACGAUGAAACUCAAAGGAAUUGACGGGGGCCCGCACAAGCGGUGGAACAUGUGGUUUAAUUCGAUGAUACGCGAGGAACCUUACCUGGGCUUAAAUGCAGAACGACGGUUCCCAAAGGGAUCCUUCUUCGGACGGACUGCAAGGUGCUGCAUGGUUGUCGUCAGCUCGUGCCGUGAGGUGUCGGGUUAAGUCCCAUAACGAGCGCAACCCCUAUUGUUAGUUGCCAGCGAGUAAUGUCGGGGACUCUAACGAAACUGCCGGUGUAAACCGAGAGGAAGGUGGGGAUGACGUCAAAUCAGCACGGCCCUUAUGUCCAGGGCUACACACGUGUUACAAUGGACGAUACAGAGGGAAGCUACUUGGCGACAAGAUGCUAAUCUCGAAAAUCGUUCUUAGUUCGGAUUGGAGUCUGCAACUCGACUUCAUGAAGCUGGAAUCGCUAGUAAUCGCACAUCAGCCAUGGUGCGGUGAAUACGUUCCCGGGCCUUGUACACACCGCCCGUCGAGCCAUGG
This 1271-nucleotide ribosomal RNA is filed under the name uncultured organism. Its description in RNAcentral is "bacterial SSU rRNA". It matches the Rfam family "Bacterial small subunit ribosomal RNA", at positions 131 to 1407 of the family's 1533-position model. The record is from RNAcentral.